AUGCUCUGGUUUCUCCUCAGAUCGCAUAAAUCUUUCACCUUUUACUAAAGAUUUCCAGAGAGGGGGACAGUCAUGAGCCUUAGCCC
RNAcentral lists this small nuclear RNA (86 nucleotides) under Crocodylus porosus (Australian saltwater crocodile). RNAcentral's name for it is "U5 spliceosomal RNA (ENSCPRG00005015842.1)". It matches the Rfam family "U5 spliceosomal RNA", at positions 1 to 86 of the family's 117-position model. From Rfam's summary of the family: U5 RNA is a component of both types of known spliceosome. The precise function of this molecule is unknown, though it is known that the 5' loop is required for splice site selection and p220 binding, and that both the 3' stem-loop and the Sm site are important for Sm protein binding and cap methylation. The record is from RNAcentral. Lineage: Eukaryota; Metazoa; Chordata; Crocodylia; Crocodylidae.